AGAUCAGGUACUUACAGUGAUACAAGACUAUUAGGUAAGUCUCAGUCAAUAAUCAGAUUUCACCAAUUUUCCCCAUAAGAUAUUUAUGCUAUUCUUUUCUUUCCCCCCUGAUCUCUGCUACCUUCUUAUAGUGGGCAAGGUAAAGUCUAUAUUGAAAUCGUUUAUCCACCUAAAAUGAGAUCAAUGGAUUAAUCAUAUUUCCCCUUUCCUCUUGUUUUACUACUGGAUAGAGGGGUAGAAGACACAGAGUGGGACUGUUUGAAGAGUGUUGAGAAACACACUUUAGCCUUAUAUUAACCUGCACAAGAACAAAUGCCCCUGUGUUGAUUCUGUCUUUACUGAAAACCAUAGAGAGUUACAAUGAUGAAACUUAUUUGAUUCUUGGUGAAAAUUAGCACUUUCUGGGAAAAAAAAAUGUUAGUUAUUCAUUUCCUUAUUCAUUUUCACUGUGGAUAUGUACCUCCUUAGAUUGCAAAUACUUUUGAAUUGUAUCUGGCAAUUCCAAGGCAUGUUGAGAGACCCAGUUGGCUAGAGAAGGUUUAUAUGGGAAAAGUAUGGGAGAGGUGCCUAAAAAGGUAGGUUUGUUACAAGCCUUAAAUACAUACUUCACCUAGGAUUUUAUUCUUUUGUCUUUUCCCUAGAGAGAAAGAUCCCAUCGUGAUCUUCCAGCAUGUUGGUCUCCCCUCUCCCUACCUUUGCAUCUCUUAUAUCCUCAAAUACUCUCCUAUGUUGAAUGCUGAAAGUCUAACGUCAACUGACAGGGAUUUGCCCUUUACCUAAGACACCUAUAACUUGGGGCAUGGGGGAAGGAGUUCUGCAACAGGAAUACCAUGAUGCUGUAAAGUACCUCAAUUUUAAUGGCCAUUUUGACAUUUCAGCCUGUUGUUUUAUUGAUUAUUUCCCUCUUAUGUGCAUUUGGUUGUCAUCCUCUUUACGCUUUUCCUCGGAUUUCUUCAGUCUGAUGGAAACCUUAAACAUGAUGAUAUGGUCUCACAAUAAAGGGUCUCUGCAGGUGCUGAGGAAAUGGAGCCAAGGCUCUCCCUUCCUACUUGAAGACAAAGGAUGGGUCAGGUGCUAGGAGGAAGGUGAUUGGAAAAUAUGUGUGCAUAUAGUUUGGAAACCUCCCUUUUCUUGCUCCACCUUUUGGAGAAUUUUUUCCUCUCCUCCGAGACCCAUUUGGACAGAAUUUUGGCUAAGUCAGGUGUCUAUGGGAGACCAUUCUUAUCUGGAGCCAGAGCUGAGACUGGAGGCCAAAGGGAAGCACCAUUUCAGGAGUAGUCAAGUAUAUUGUGUCUUUGGCUCUGGAAAAUUAAUUCCAAAAGGCACAUGUAGCCAGCAUUCAUGUCCUUUUAAAAAGCAAAUAGUGGACACAUAUCCAGCAAUAACCAACAAAUGUCGGAUAUAUCCAAGUCCAUCAUCUCUAGGCACAAGUUAGUUGCUGUAGAGAAAAGCCAGCAACCCUUAAACCUUUCUUUUGGCUACAGAUGGGUGACAAAAUAAUAAAGACAGGGGGAUUUUGGAAUAAGAUGAAACAAAAAUGAUAAAUGGAAAUCAUUUACUUUUAAGGGCUCUGAAAAGAGGUAGUGUUUCCCCAGCACUACCCCCACCCCCAACCGGUAUAGACUUGCUUGACACAGUAACUGGCAUUUCCGUCCUCAGGUAGAAAUACUCCAAAUAAGAAACUUGCUCGUGCAAUUGUGUUACUAUGGACUCGUGUGAUAUGUCUGAUGAAUUGAGUUAAUUCAUUCUUUAACUUAACUGGCAAGAUUUAAGGGUUCACAUUGAAAGCAUGAAUAACCAUUUUGUUCCUUGAAAGACUCCAGUUUAAUGCCUCCUGAUGUCAGUGUAUUUUGCCCAGGGUUAAACUUGCUAUAUGAAUUAUUCACUGCUUGAUGGAAUGAAUGGGACCAUGUUUGCCCACAAAAUGUUAGCUGUGGUUAUCUGACACGAUGGGGCACAGCAGAUGCCUACAAAGGACAAUGGAUAAUUUAGAAUGUGGUUCCAGGGCCCAGCCAUUGCCGUUAAGAUCUUUAGAGGAAGCAUAGCACCUUCUUGUCUUGCACCACACAUCAAGAUGGCCUUAGUGAGCCAAGAAACUCUUAGCCUUAAAAAAAAAAAAAA
Molecule: long non-coding RNA, 2121 nt
Filed under: Canis lupus familiaris (dog)
Lineage: Eukaryota; Metazoa; Chordata; Mammalia; Carnivora; Canidae
Description: lncRNA (ENSCAFG00845003338.1)
Source: RNAcentral